GAGUUUGAUUAUGGCUCAGGAUGAACGCUGGCGGCGUGCUUAACACAUGCAAGUCGAACGGGCGAAUUAUAUCGGAGGUCUUCGGGCCGAAGAGAUAAUAAGCUAGUGGCGGACGGGUGCGUAACGUGUGGGUAAUCUGCCUUUGUCAUAGGAAUAACUGCUUGAAAAAGUAGCUAAUACCAAAUAACAUAUCGUAUAGGCAUCUAUAAGAUAUCAAAGAGAAAUCGGACAAAGAUGAGCCCGCAUCUGAUUAGCUGGUUGGUAGGGUAAAAGCCUACCAAGGCGACGAUCAGUAGCCGGCCUGAGAGGGUGAACGGCCACAUUGGAACUGAGACACGGUCCAAACUCCUACGGGAGGCAGCAGUGGGGAAUAUUGCACAAUGGGGGGAACCCUGAUGCAGCAANCGCCGCGUGAGUGAAGAAGGCUUUCGAGUCGUAAAACUCUGUUGUAAGGGAAGAUAAUGACNGUCCCUAAAGAAGCC
This 482-nucleotide ribosomal RNA is filed under the name Filifactor villosus. RNAcentral's name for it is "bacterial SSU rRNA". It matches the Rfam family "Bacterial small subunit ribosomal RNA", at positions 9 to 492 of the family's 1533-position model. The record is from RNAcentral. Lineage: Bacteria; Bacillati; Bacillota; Clostridia; Peptostreptococcales; Filifactoraceae.